RNAcentral lists this ribosomal RNA (520 nucleotides) under Lactiplantibacillus plantarum. Its description in RNAcentral is "bacterial SSU rRNA". It matches the Rfam family "Bacterial small subunit ribosomal RNA", at positions 473 to 991 of the family's 1533-position model. The record is from RNAcentral. Lineage: Bacteria; Bacillati; Bacillota; Bacilli; Lactobacillales; Lactobacillaceae.
CGGUAUUUAACCAGAAAGCCACGGCUAACUACGUGCCAGCAGCCGCGGUAAUACGUAGGUGGCAAGCGUUGUCCGGAUUUAUUGGGCGUAAAGCGAGCGCAGGCGGUUUUUUAAGUCUGAUGUGAAAGCCUUCGGCUCAACCGAAGAAGUGCAUCGGAAACUGGGAAACUUGAGUGCAGAAGAGGACAGUGGAACUCCAUGUGUAGCGGUGAAAUGCGUAGAUAUAUGGAAGAACACCAGUGGCGAAGGCGGCUGUCUGGUCUGUAACUGACGCUGAGGCUCGAAAGUAUGGGUAGCAAACAGGAUUAGAUACCCUGGUAGUCCAUACCGUAAACGAUGAAUGCUAAGUGUUGGAGGGUUUCCGCCCUUCAGUGCUGCAGCUAACGCAUUAAGCAUUCCGCCUGGGGAGUACGGCCGCAAGGCUGAAACUCAAAGGAAUUGACGGGGGCCCGCACAAGCGGUGGAGCAUGUGGUUUAAUUCGAAGCUACGCGAAGAACCUUACCAGGUCUUGACAUACUA